GGGAGGUCCAUGCUGGUCCUAAAAGAUAUCUGUCUGGAGCCUCCCCACUUGUCUAUUGAGGUGUCUGAGAGGGCUGAGGUGGGCAAGGCGCUGAGAGUCCAUGUCACCCUCACCAACACCUUAAUGGUGGCUCUGAGCAGCUGCACGAUGGUGCUGGAAGGAAGCGGCCUCAUCAAUGGGCAGAUAGCAAAGGACCUUGGGACUCUGGUGGCUG
RNAcentral lists this long non-coding RNA (214 nucleotides) under Pan troglodytes (chimpanzee). RNAcentral's name for it is "long non-coding RNA NONPTRT005614". Lineage: Eukaryota; Metazoa; Chordata; Mammalia; Primates; Hominidae. The record is from RNAcentral.